UUUUAUGAGAGUUUGAUCCUGGCUCAGGACGAACGCUGGCGGCGUGCCUAAUACAUGCAAGUCGAACGCUUCUUUUUCCACCGGAGCUUGCUCCACCGGAAAAAGAGGAGUGGCGAACGGGUGAGUAACACGUGGGUAACCUGCCCAUCAGAAGGGGAUAACACUUGGAAACAGGUGCUAAUACCGUAUAACAAUCGAAACCGCAUGGUUUUGAUUUGAAAGGCGCUUUCGGGUGUCGCUGAUGGAUGGACCCGCGGUGCAUUAGCUAGUUGGUGAGGUAACGGCUCACCAAGGCCACGAUGCAUAGCCGACCUGAGAGGGUGAUCGGCCACAUUGGGACUGAGACACGGCCCAAACUCCUACGGGAGGCAGCAGUAGGGAAUCUUCGGCAAUGGACGAAAGUCUGACCGAGCAACGCCGAGUGAGUGAAGAAGGUUUUCGG
This 442-nucleotide ribosomal RNA is filed under the name Enterococcus faecium. RNAcentral's name for it is "bacterial SSU rRNA". It matches the Rfam family "Bacterial small subunit ribosomal RNA", at positions 1 to 421 of the family's 1533-position model. Lineage: Bacteria; Bacillati; Bacillota; Bacilli; Lactobacillales; Enterococcaceae. The record is from RNAcentral.